This 149-nucleotide ribosomal RNA is filed under the name Herpotrichiellaceae sp. RNAcentral describes it as "partial large subunit ribosomal RNA". Lineage: Eukaryota; Fungi; Ascomycota; Eurotiomycetes; Chaetothyriales; Herpotrichiellaceae. The record is from RNAcentral.
AUCCAGGCCAGCAUCGGUUUGGAUGGUUGGUUAAAGACUUUAGGAAUGUAUCUACCUUCGGGUCGACUUAUAGCCUAGAGUGUAAUGCGACCUAUCUAGACCGAGGAACGCGCUUUUUGCUCGGAUGUUGGCGUAAUGGUUGUAAGCGG